AAGAUACUCCCUCCGUUCGGAAUUACUUGUCUUGAAAAUGGAUGUAUCUAGAAUUAAAAUACGUCUAGAUACAUCCAUUUUCGCGACAAGUAAUUCCGAACUGAGGGAGUAACAU
Non-coding RNA from Triticum aestivum (bread wheat), 115 nucleotides. The record is from Rfam. Lineage: Eukaryota; Viridiplantae; Streptophyta; Magnoliopsida; Poales; Poaceae.